GGUGGCUUAGUGGUAGAGCACUUGCCUUGCAUGCAUAAGGCCCUGGGUUCGAUUCCUCAGCACCA
RNAcentral lists this transfer RNA (65 nucleotides) under Dipodomys ordii (Ord's kangaroo rat). It matches the Rfam family "tRNA". Rfam says of the family: Transfer RNA (tRNA) molecules are approximately 80 nucleotides in length. Their secondary structure includes four short double-helical elements and three loops (D, anti-codon, and T loops). The record is from Rfam by way of RNAcentral. Lineage: Eukaryota; Metazoa; Chordata; Mammalia; Rodentia; Heteromyidae.